RNAcentral lists this small RNA (27 nucleotides) under Bombyx mori (domestic silkworm). RNAcentral describes it as "ovarian small RNA-15879". Lineage: Eukaryota; Metazoa; Arthropoda; Insecta; Lepidoptera; Bombycidae. The record is from RNAcentral.
GAGGAACUCAAAACCUGCCGGGGAAAC